RNA transcript from Haliotis rubra (blacklip abalone), 3171 nucleotides. RefSeq lists it as uncharacterized. The transcript is spliced from 2 exons. The record is from RefSeq and is a predicted model, not a curated record. NCBI's taxonomy places the organism in Eukaryota, Metazoa, Mollusca, Gastropoda, Lepetellida, Haliotidae.
AUCGUCGGACAACGAUCACGUGACAUCAGCCGCCAUUUUAAAAUUUGCAGGUUGUGUGCAGUGCUCAAAUCUGAGAUACAACGAUUUAUUGUCGCUAUACGAAUGACACGUUGACAGUUGUGCUUUGCUGUUAUGAACAUCUGUUCGUAGGGUCUUUGAUCGACCUGAAUUGUCUCGAUUGCAAAGAUUCCUAGAAGGACUAGGAGUGAAACAGCCCUACAACCACAGUGCGACAAGAAGCAGGAUGGCGGGAUCAGUUAGCCCCGUUUUGUCGCUUCAACGAUGUGACGAAGAUAUUGACUUGUUGUCGGAGUUGCUGGGUUCAAAUUCAAAUGGAUCAAGCAGUAACAGUAUAGAUAUUGCAGAAAGUCUGCUUAGCGAUGAUAUGGAUGAUCUUACCGGCUAUCUUUGCAGGAACUCGAAACGUCUCAAUCGGGGUGGGGAGGGUUCGUUCUCAGGUCAAGAGUGCCUGGAUGAUCUAAAUUUAGGUUGUCAUGAUAGUGAUAUUUCAAUGAACCCUGUCCGCGACAGUCCAAUGCACACGACAGUAAAGGGUGAAACCAGAGUAGAUAAACCUAUUACGACCAAGGCUACCAAAAGCCGAGAACUUAUGUAUACUGUCAUCGCUCAAAAGGAACCCAAAUCUAUGAAUAAGAACGCUGUCGCCGCAAGGGAAAAUAGACAAAAAAGAAAGAAGUACAUUGAAAACAUCGAGAGAGAAGUAGCACAACUUAAAGAGGAGAAUGCAGCACUUAAGAUGAAGGUGUCUUGCCAAGGUGACAGUGUAGAGAAACUGAAUGAGCAAGUAAAGUAUCUGCAAAGUGUUAUUUCUAAUCAGUCCACCAUAUCAGCCUUAUUGCAGAACAUUCAAAAUACAGCUGGUGUCACACUGAAAUCAUCUUGGGUUGAUUUGGGGAAACAGUCUGAUGCAUGUUCAACCUUUACACAGAGUGGGAAGAAAAAUGUUGAAAACUGCAAGUCCCGACUUCGUAAAUCAAAGCGUAAGUGUGUGUUUGAGUCAGAAAGUGUGUUGAGCCGAGAUAAGAAGUUGUGUUUUGAGAAGGAAAACACAAAUGGUAAUGUCCAGCUUACAAGUGGUUCAGAGUCCAGUCCAAGUGUAAAGAGUGAGGUAAAAAGUAACAGCACCGCAGAGACUGAUCAAGAUGUGUUCAACUUAAACCAGCAGACUAGUGCUGGUGUGUGCCUUCAUGUGUCUGGGAAGCAAGUUUCGCUUGAGUUCUGUUCAGCCUGCAGCAAAAUGGCAUCCACAACAAGAGUCUUGGAUGAUCACAGUUACGUCAGACCAUCAACAGAAUUGGAAUGAAUAUCAUUCUCUUUGUUAUACCAUUUUGUAUGUACAGUGUAGAUUUAUAUUUAGGGCUGAAGCAAUACACUAUGGAACCAUUAUUCUUAUGUCAUUCUUCUGAAAUUAUUAAUAAUUUUAGUAUUAGUGAAUUGUUUCAGUCUCAUUUUGGUUUGAAUAUUUCAAAUCUGAUCAUGUAAAUAUUACUUAUGCCUUGUGAAUAAGUGGUUUGUUAUGCAGUAUUGUCAUUUGUGUAAUCCUGGUUGAAUGGGUGUGUAAAAUGUUACAGAUGACAAUGCUUGUGACAAGUCACUUAAUGUGUCAGAUGUUUAUGUCAAGAUGUUUUGGUCAUAAACUAAACAAUAUUGUUUACCUUUCCAGCCUUCAAAGCUAGACCAAUCUCUAGACAUGAAGUUGCAAUACUUCUGGAUUGACGGUGUAGUAUAAGACAUGAAUGGUCGGUUUCUGUAACAUUUGAUUUUACUACUAGUCAGAAGGGAACAGCCAAUUUCAAACUAGAAAAAGAAUGCCACGUGGCCAUGGUAUAUAUUUUUUAAUGAAUUCCUUUUGAAAAAGAACAGUAAUUCUGUUUUAAAUUUGAUUAAGUUGUGUUAAACACAUGGGUUGUGUUAACAUGCUUUGACAUUAGAUGACAUGCCGUUUCAGGAAAUGUUUGUAAUUUACCAUGUAUUCAGGUAAUUAGUACAUGAUGUGAACCUUAUGUUGGAAGUGGGCUGUUUUCUUUGAAGCAAAUAUAUAAUUUGUUUGUUGUAUGUUCUCAUUCCUCCUUGCCCCUGCCCAUACUGCUAUAGUGCCAGAAAAAGUACAAAUAAGUUUUCAAGUGUUUAUAUUUCCAAGUUAACAUUAAGUACAAACGACAGACCCCUUCUGUAUGAUCUACAUGUAAUUUUCUGUGAAAUACUAUUUGAGUCAAUAUUCAUAAGGGAUCAUGAUUUUAAUAUCACAGUCAUAAUGCUGUUAUGAUCAUGGGAGUGAAUUAUCUACAGUUUAAGACAAUGUGAGACGAAACAUCAUUGGGUUUUAACCAUUUGGUAAAUAGGCUAUAUGACAUAAUAGAACAUUGCAUCUUAGAGAUAUUUGCCCCCUCUCCAAGCCCUCACUUGUUUCGAUUGAUGAGAUGUUAACCAUGUUCUCUGUUUUCUAUUUCAGGGAGGUCAGUAAUGAAUGACCUUUGGUUGAGAAGCGAUGAUCCCAAUCUCUUUAUUUUCACAGUUACCAAUGUGUUGAUGCUGGAUCUCUUAGAGUGGCAUGACCUUCAUAUCACCCGCCUGAAGGUCACGUAAGUAUGGGGACAGUAAGUUACCCAGGUCAGGUUUCUUAAUAUUUAUUACUCGUUGACAUUUAUUAGUACUGAGUCUCUUCUGACUGCUGUGAAAUGGGUCCAUGUAAAUGCUGCAAAGUUUCACAAUGUUAAGGUUUCACUGAAGUUGGUUGAAUUUCAUUGUCUGUAAUUUGAUCCUGAUAUAUCAAUUAACUCGAUAUACUAUUCUGUUUGGUGAUUAUUGUGGCAGAACUUAUCUGUACAAAUUCUUUACCAUGUCAUCCUCACCAUGUGUAAGUUCAUCUGAAAAUCUUGUAAUGGGUUUGGAGUUGUCUAGUCGUCUAAUUCUUUGACAUUUUAAGCCAAAUGGAGGUGUUGCUUACAAGUGUGUAUGGUGCCUCUUAAAAACAAUUUUUUCAAAUAGUGGUGUGAUAAUGUCAUAUCUGAAAGAUUGUGGACAAACAUGAGGUGAGGAGACCUGCAGACAAUGUUAUUCCCUGACUUGGUGAAUAUCACAUUCUGUAUGCCAUUGAUAUGAUUGUCCUGUUUGUUGUAAAAUGAAAAACAAUAAAUGAUCAAAUUGAAA